RNAcentral lists this ribosomal RNA (460 nucleotides) under uncultured bacterium. RNAcentral's name for it is "bacterial SSU rRNA". It matches the Rfam family "Bacterial small subunit ribosomal RNA", at positions 339 to 796 of the family's 1533-position model. The record is from RNAcentral.
GUACGGGAGGCAGCAGUAAGGAAUGUUGGUCAAUGGCCGGAAGGCUGAACCAGCCAUCCCGCGUGCAGGAUGACGGCCCUAUGGGUUGUAAACUGCUUUUGUACCUGAAGAAACCUGCUUACGAGUAGACAGUUGCCGGUAAGGUAUGAAUAAGCAUCGGCUAACUCCGUGCCAGCAGCCGCGGUAAUACGGAGGAUGCAAGCGUUAUCCGGAUUCAUUGGGUUUAAAGGGUGCGCAGGUGGGAAAAUAAGUCAGUGGUGAAAUACUGCCGCUUAACGGUAGAAUUGCCAUUGAUACUGUUUUUCUUGAGCAUGGUUGAGGUAGGUGGAAUGUGUUGUGUAGCGGUGAAAUGCAUAGAUAUGACACAGAACGCCGAUUGCGAAGGCAGCUUACUAAGCCAUUACUGACGCUGAGGCACGAAAGCGUGGGGAUCAAACAGGAUUAGAAACCCGAGUAGUCC